This 279-nucleotide ribosomal RNA is filed under the name uncultured bacterium. Its description in RNAcentral is "partial 16S ribosomal RNA". It matches the Rfam family "Bacterial small subunit ribosomal RNA", at positions 506 to 784 of the family's 1533-position model. The record is from RNAcentral.
UGCCAGCCGCCGCGGUAAUACGAAGGGACCUAGCGUAGUUCGGAAUUACUGGGCUUAAAGAGUUCGUAGGUGGUUGAAAAAGUUAGUGGUGAAAUCCCAGAGCUUAACUCUGGAACUGCCAUUAAAACUUUUCAGCUAGAGUAUGAUAGAGGAAAGCAGAAUUUCUAGUGUAGAGGUGAAAUUCGUAGAUAUUAGAAAGAAUACCAAUUGCGAAGGCAGCUUUCUGGACAGAUACUGACGCUGAGGAACGAAAGCGUGGGGAGCGAACAGGAUUAGAUA